GCCAUCAUAGUAUAGUGGUUAGUACACCACGUUGUGGACCCGUGGAAACCUCAGUUCGAUUCUGGGUGAUGGCA
Molecule: non-coding RNA, 74 nt
Organism: Yarrowia lipolytica CLIB122
Lineage: Eukaryota; Fungi; Ascomycota; Dipodascomycetes; Dipodascales
Source: the annotation of a RefSeq genome assembly